This 486-nucleotide ribosomal RNA is filed under the name uncultured bacterium. Its description in RNAcentral is "partial 16S ribosomal RNA". It matches the Rfam family "Bacterial small subunit ribosomal RNA", at positions 28 to 507 of the family's 1533-position model. The record is from RNAcentral.
GAUGAACGCUGGCGGCGUGCCUAAUACAUGCAAGUCGAACGCUGGAACUCUAGCUUGCUAGAUUGAAGGAGUGGCGAACGGGUGAGUAAUACAUAAGCAACCUACCCACGAAGACUGGGAUAAUCUCUGGAAACGGGGACUAAUACCGGAUAGGUAAUCGGAAGGCAUCUUCUGAUUAUUAAAGGUUAAAAACACUGGUGGAUGGGCUUAUGGCGCAUUAGUUAGUUGGUGAGGUAACGGCCCACCAAGACGAUGAUGCGUAGCCGGCCUGAGAGGGUGAACGGCCACAUUGGGACUGAGACACGGCCCAGACUCCUACGGGAGGCAGCAGUAGGGAAUUUUCGGCAAUGGGGGAAACCCUGACCGAGCAACGCCGCGUGAGUGAUGACGGCCUUCGGGUUGUAAAGCCCUGUUGUAAGGGAAGAACGGUAGAUAGAGAAUAUCUAAAUGACGGUACCUUACCAGAAAGCCACGGCUAACUACGUG